RNAcentral lists this ribosomal RNA (400 nucleotides) under Kaistia terrae. RNAcentral's name for it is "bacterial SSU rRNA". It matches the Rfam family "Bacterial small subunit ribosomal RNA", at positions 371 to 789 of the family's 1533-position model. The record is from RNAcentral. Lineage: Bacteria; Pseudomonadati; Pseudomonadota; Alphaproteobacteria; Hyphomicrobiales; Kaistiaceae.
AUGGGCGCAGCCUGAUCCAGCCAUGCCGCGUGUGUGAUGAAGGCCUUAGGGUUGUAAAGCACUUUCGCCGAUGAAGAUAAUGACUGUAGUCGGAGAAGAAGCCCCGGCUAACUUCGUGCCAGCAGCCGCGGUAAUACGAAGGGGGCUAGCGUUGUUCGGAAUUACUGGGCGUAAAGCGUACGUAGGCGGAUUGUUAAGUGAGGGGUGAAAUCCCGAGGCUCAACCUCGGAACUGCCUUUCAUACUGGCAAUCUUGAGUCCGGGAGAGGUGAGUGGAACUCCUAGUGUAGAGGUGAAAUUCGUAGAUAUUAGGAAGAACACCAGUGGCGAAGGCGGCUCACUGGCCCGGAACUGACGCUGAGGUACGAAAGCGUGGGGAGCAAACAGGAUUAGAUACCCUG